AUGCUGCCGCCGCCGCCGCCGGAGCGGUGGUCCAUCCUGGCUCGAAUCCCUAAAGUUGUGAAGGACAAGGAGGCGAAGCGCACCUUCCCGCCGGGCGCCGACGUCUCCGUCGCCUGCGACGAGCUCCCGCGCGCCUCAAUCCUCACCGUGCCGCUCCGCAUCUCCCCGCCGCCCUGCCUCCCCAGCUACCCCUACGUCGCCGCUGCGGACCCCUCCAGCCUGCUCCUCCUCUGCGCCACGGAGCCUGGCGGGGAGGUCACCUACCACCUCUGCCACGCGCGCACAGGUGAGGCCACCUGUUUCCGCGAGCACGACUGCCCCAUGGGCUUCGACGACGCCAAUGUCGGCCUAAUGACGAGGGGCGACAGCUGCGUGGUCGCCGAGCUCCAGCCCUCCGGCGACGGCUCCGGCCGUGCCACGCUCCUCCGCUACACGGUGGGGCAGUACAAGUGGGCCGUGACGGAGCUCGCCUACUCGCCGCAGCUGCACCGGCAGUGGUUCUGCGAGGGGGUCGUCUCCCACGGAGGGAUGCUCUGGUGGGUGGAGCUCUCGUACGGCCUCCUCGCCUGUGACCCCUACUCCGACAAGCCGGAGCUGCUACACGUCCCGCUUCCGACGAUCAUCGACCCGCUUCCGGGAAAAGUGGCAAAUUUGGCCAACAGGGCCUCCCACAGCUGCGUGAAGGCGAGCAGCGGAAGGCUGAGGUACGUGCAGAUCCAUGGCGAUCCCGCCGCCCGGUGGUGA
RNAcentral lists this ribosomal RNA (744 nucleotides) under Triticum aestivum (bread wheat). RNAcentral describes it as "partial small subunit ribosomal RNA". The record is from RNAcentral. Lineage: Eukaryota; Viridiplantae; Streptophyta; Magnoliopsida; Poales; Poaceae.